Molecule: transfer RNA, 78 nt
Filed under: Sphingobacteriia bacterium
Lineage: Bacteria; Pseudomonadati; Bacteroidota; Sphingobacteriia
Description: tRNA-Val
Rfam family: tRNA
About the family: Transfer RNA (tRNA) molecules are approximately 80 nucleotides in length. Their secondary structure includes four short double-helical elements and three loops (D, anti-codon, and T loops).
Source: RNAcentral
GGGAGCAUAGCUCAGUUGGUUUAGAGCAUCCGCCUGACAGGCGGAGGGUCCGCGGUUCGAGCCCGUGUGUUCCCACCA